UCCAAAAUUCAAUAAAGGAGAUGCCAGG
This 28-nucleotide non-coding RNA is filed under the name Mus musculus (house mouse). Lineage: Eukaryota; Metazoa; Chordata; Mammalia; Rodentia; Muridae. The record is from RNAcentral.